ACGCUCGACACCUACGGGAGGCAGCAGCGGGGAAUAUUGGGCAAUGGAGGCAACUCUGACCCAGCAACGCCGCGUGAGUGAUGAAGGUCUUCGGAUUGUAAAACUCUUUAAGUAGGGACGAAGAAAGUGACGGUACCUACAGAAUAAGCCUCGGCUAACUACGUGCCAACAGCCGCGGUAAUCUGAGCGGGCUGGCAAGGC
RNAcentral lists this ribosomal RNA (201 nucleotides) under uncultured bacterium. Its description in RNAcentral is "partial 16S ribosomal RNA". It matches the Rfam family "Bacterial small subunit ribosomal RNA", at positions 328 to 539 of the family's 1533-position model. The record is from RNAcentral.